CGCAACAGGGGACGCAAGGAUCCUCGAGCCGCAGUAAGCGGUCGCCGGGUCGGCCCGACAGGGGCUGACGGGCUCGGGGGGAGCGAGUGGCGAGACCGACCCCGAGGACC
Molecule: non-coding RNA, 110 nt
Filed under: unclassified sequences
Description: c-di-GMP sequence
Rfam family: c-di-GMP-II-GAG riboswitch aptamer
Source: Rfam by way of RNAcentral